GAUGAAGAACGUAGCGAAAUGCGAUAAGUAGUGUGAAUUGCAGAAUUCAGUGAAUCAUCGAAUCUUUGAACGCACAUUGCGCCCCUUGGUAUUCCAUGGGGCAUGCCUGUUCGAGCGUCAUUUGUACCCUCAAGCUUUGCUUGGUGUUGGGCGUCUUGUCGUAUUACGACUCGCCUUAAAUACAUUGGCAGCCGGCACUUUGGCCUAGGAGCGCAGCACAUUUUGCGAUCGUAGCCCGUUGUACUGGCGUCCAUCAAGAACAUUUACCACGUUUGACCUCGGAUCAGGUAGGGAUACCCGCUGAACUUAAGCAUAUCAUAGCGGAGGA
Molecule: unclassified non-coding RNA, 328 nt
Filed under: soil metagenome
Description: partial contains 5.8S ribosomal RNA, internal transcribed spacer 2, and large subunit ribosomal RNA
Rfam family: 5.8S ribosomal RNA (bases 1-120)
Source: RNAcentral